Molecule: long non-coding RNA, 566 nt
Organism: Scatophagus argus
Lineage: Eukaryota; Metazoa; Chordata; Actinopteri; Scatophagidae
Exons: 3
Source: RefSeq, a predicted model, not a curated record
UCUAGAAAUCCAGUCCUGUGGUUUGCAGGUUGAUCUGACUGCAACACGAGAAUGUAAAAACUUGUUGUAGAAACCUUAGCUGUGGGCUGGAGAACUGAUUCCAGAGAGGACAAAGUUGGUCCCAGCAAGGCAGGAAGUGUAGAGUAUUUUAUAUAAGCUGAGCUGUCAGCUCGCAGCGUGGCCGACUAUCGUUACCCCCCCGUCCACCCCCGUCUUUUUCCCAGACAAUCCACUUGCUUGUACUUUUCCAUGGCUGGUGGUUUCUAUGGCAACAAAAGGGGAGGAGGAGGAGGAGGAUGAGGCAGGGGCUUGACAGAGUACUGUCAAGCAGACAGCACAGGGGCGGCUGGGAUCCUCACAAGUUACUGUCAGCUGGAGUCAUCAAACAUGUGGCCAGCAGUUGUUCAUCCCCAGCGCACAUCACAGCAUGCAGAGGACUGGGUGCCACAUUGUCCAAACAUGUGUGGUCUGCAUGUGAGUGAGUGUGGAACCUGACCUCUUGCAAAAUGUGCGAAAACCACAUCCAACACCUCAUUCCACAUUAGAAUAAAAAUGACUUGAAUGAA